RNAcentral lists this ribosomal RNA (492 nucleotides) under uncultured bacterium. RNAcentral's name for it is "partial 16S ribosomal RNA". It matches the Rfam family "Bacterial small subunit ribosomal RNA", at positions 29 to 507 of the family's 1533-position model. The record is from RNAcentral.
AGUGAACGCUGGCGGUAGGCCUAACACAUGCAAGUCGAACGGCCGCACAGUAAGAGCUUUCUCUUACGGGUGGCGAGUGGCGGACGGGUGGGGAAUACAUCGGAAUCUACUUUUUCGUGGGGGAUAACGUAGGGAAACUUACGCUAAUACCGCAUACGACCUACGGGUUAAAUCAGUGAAUCUUCGGACCUUGCUCCAUUUAAUGAGCCGAUGUCGGAUUAUCUAGUUGGCGGGGUAAAGGCCCACCAAGGCGACGAACCGUAGCUGGUCUGAGAGGAUGAUCAGCAAAACUGGAACUGAGACACGGUCCAGACUCUUACGGGAGGAAGCAGUGGGGAAUAUUGGACAAUGGGCGCAAGCCUGAUCCAGCAAUACCGCGUGGGUGAAGAAGGCCUUCGGGUUGUAAAGCCCUUUUGUUGGGAAAGACAAGUAGCAGGCUAAUAACCCGCUGUUCUGACGGUACCCAAAGAAUAAGCAACGGCUAACUUCGUG